Molecule: ribosomal RNA, 307 nt
Filed under: Amoebophrya sp.
Lineage: Eukaryota; Dinophyceae; Syndiniales; Amoebophryaceae
Description: SSU rRNA
Rfam family: Eukaryotic small subunit ribosomal RNA
Source: RNAcentral
UAGCGUAUAUUAAAGUUGUUGCGGCUAAAAAGCUCGUAGUUGGAUUUCUGUUGAGGACAUCUGGUCUGCUCUACGAGCAUGUAUCAAGAUUGGCCUCGGCAUCCGCUCUGCAUACGUGUAUGCGCUUGAUUGCGUGGCGCGGAGGUAGGGCCUUUUACUUUGAGGAAAUUAGAGUGUUCACGGCAGGCAGUCGCCUUGAAUAUAUUAGCAUGGAAUAAUAACAUAGGAUCUUGGUUCUAUUUUGUUGGUUUCUAGGGCUGAGAUAAUGAUUAAUAGGGACAAUUGGGGGCAUUCGUAUUGCGGUGUC